UACAGAGGGUGCGAGCGUUGUUCGGAAUUAUUGGGCGUAAAGGGCGCGUAGGCGGUGCGGUAAGUCACCUGUGAAAUCUCCUGGCUCAACUGGGAGUCUGCAGGCGAAACUGCCGUGCUGGAGUGUGGGAGAGGUGAGUGGAAUUCCUGGUGUAGCGGUGAAAUGCGCAGAUAUCAGGAGGAACACCAAUUGCGAAGGCAGCUCGCUGGGACGUAACUGACGCUGAGACGCGAAAGCGUGGGGAGCAAACAGG
RNAcentral lists this ribosomal RNA (253 nucleotides) under uncultured bacterium. RNAcentral describes it as "partial 16S ribosomal RNA". It matches the Rfam family "Bacterial small subunit ribosomal RNA", at positions 524 to 776 of the family's 1533-position model. The record is from RNAcentral.